This is a transfer RNA of Tortispora caseinolytica NRRL Y-17796, 116 nucleotides long. It matches the Rfam family "tRNA". From Rfam's summary of the family: Transfer RNA (tRNA) molecules are approximately 80 nucleotides in length. Their secondary structure includes four short double-helical elements and three loops (D, anti-codon, and T loops). NCBI's taxonomy places the organism in Eukaryota, Fungi, Ascomycota, Trigonopsidomycetes, Trigonopsidales, Trigonopsidaceae. The record is from Rfam.
GCUCCAGUGGCGCAGUGGUUUAGCGCUUCGUGCUUAUAGCCGUACAACGACGUCUAUGCUGAUGUCACGGUCGUGUGAGAACGCGACGGUCGUGGGUUCGACCCCCUCCUGGAGCA